GAUGAACGCUAGCGACAGGCUUAACACAUGCAAGUCGAGGGGCAGCGGGGGCGAAGCUUGCUUCGCCUGCCGGCGACCGGCGCACGGGUGAGUAACACGUAUGCAACCUGCCCCUGUCAGGGGGACAACCCGCCGAAAGGCGGGCUAAACCCGCGUACAUGCCACCGGGGCAUCCCGGAGGCAGGAAAGGCUUCGGCCGGACAGGGAUGGGCAUGCGGCGCAUUAGGCAGUAGGCGGGGUAACGGCCCACCUAACCGACGAUGCGUAGGGGUUCUGAGAGGAAGGUCCCCCACACUGGUACUGAGACACGGACCAG
RNAcentral lists this ribosomal RNA (316 nucleotides) under uncultured bacterium. Its description in RNAcentral is "bacterial SSU rRNA". It matches the Rfam family "Bacterial small subunit ribosomal RNA", at positions 28 to 334 of the family's 1533-position model. The record is from RNAcentral.